GAUCCUGGCUCAGAAUCAACGCUGGCGGCGUGCCUAACACAUGCAAGUCGAACGAGAAAGUGGAGCAAUCCAUGAGUAAAGUGGCGACCGGGUGAGUAACACGUGACUAACCUACCCUACAGUGGGGGAUAACUCCGGGAAACCGGGGCUAAUACCGCAUAACAUCGUAAGAUCAAAGGAGCAAUUCGCUGAAGGAGGGGGUCGCGGCUGAUUAGUAAGUUGGUGAGGUAACGGCUCACCAAGACGAAGAUCAGUAGCCGGCCUGAGAGGGCGCACGGCCACACUGGAACUGAAACACGGCCCAGACUCCUACGGGAGGCAGCAG
This 325-nucleotide ribosomal RNA is filed under the name uncultured Acidobacteriota bacterium. RNAcentral describes it as "bacterial SSU rRNA". It matches the Rfam family "Bacterial small subunit ribosomal RNA", at positions 15 to 354 of the family's 1533-position model. The record is from RNAcentral. Lineage: Bacteria; Pseudomonadati; Acidobacteriota.